RNAcentral lists this unclassified non-coding RNA (507 nucleotides) under Hevea brasiliensis (rubber tree). The record is from RNAcentral. Lineage: Eukaryota; Viridiplantae; Streptophyta; Magnoliopsida; Malpighiales; Euphorbiaceae.
AAAGCCACAGAAGCUUGCCUGAAAAACAAUCAAAAAACACAAAAUGCCAUCCGUGAGAAGGCAAAAUCCAAAAGGGCAUCCAAACCAAGGAAGUUUCACAUUUCUUCUCACCAAAAACAGAAUUUUCAAUAUGGCAAUAAACACAUAGAAACCUAUCACUUCAUAACAACUACUUCUAUAAUGUAUAAUUUAGAUUUUUCCUUUACUAGAAACCCUUUGUUUAUUUAUUUAUAAACACAAAAAAAAAAGAAGUUUCCUUUUGAAUUCUGUGAACUUUUUAUCUUCUUUGAAGGAUCUUUAACACUAUGUUUGAAUCAUGGUUUGUAAUGGUUUCAUAUAUUAUAUGGUAUAAUUAGUGAUGGUUUUGGAUUGUAACUAUCAUUUUACCACAACUUUUCAAAUCACCAAAUUGAUGAUUUGGAAUGAUUUUAGAAUUUUUAGAUUUUAGAAUUUUUACAUUCUUAUUUUAUCCUUACAUAAUUUAUUUUCUCAUGGAAAUAUUAUAUA